RNAcentral lists this ribosomal RNA (253 nucleotides) under uncultured bacterium. Its description in RNAcentral is "partial 16S ribosomal RNA". It matches the Rfam family "Bacterial small subunit ribosomal RNA", at positions 524 to 776 of the family's 1533-position model. The record is from RNAcentral.
UACGGAGGGUGCAAACGUUGUCCGGAAUUAUUGGGCGUAAAGAGCAUGUAGGUGGCCUUGUAAGUCAAUGAUUAAAGACCCACGCUUAACGUGGGGACUGUUAUUGAUACUGCAUGGCUAGAGGAAAACAGGGGUAAGCGGAACUUUAGGUGUAGGAGUGAAAUCCGUAGAUAUCUAAAGGAACACCAAUGGCGAAGGCAGCUUACUGGGUUUUUUCUGACACUGAGAUGCGAAAGCGUGGGGAGCAAACGGG